CCAGACUCCUACGGGAGGCAGCAGUGGGGAAUAUUGCACAAUGGGGGAAACCCUGAUGCGGCAACGCCGCGUGAGUGAAGAAGUAUUUCGGUAUGUAAAGCUCUAUCAGCAGGGAAGAAGAAGGACGGUACCUGACUAAGAAGCCCCGGCUAACUACGUGCCAGCAGCCGCGGUAAUACGGAGGAUGCGAGCGUUAUCCGGAUUUAUUGGGUUUAAAGGGUGCGCAGGCGGCACGGCAAGCCGGCGGUCAAAUCGCGGGGCUCAACCCCGCCCAGCCGUCGGAACUGCCGGGCUAGAGUGGGCGAGAAGUGCGCGGAAUGCGUGGUGUAGCGGUGAAAUGCAUAGAUAUCACGCAGAACUCCGAUUGCGAAGGCAGCAUACCGGCGCCCAACUGACGCUGAAGCACGAAAGCGUGGGUAUCGAACAGGAUUAGAUACCCGCGUA
This 444-nucleotide ribosomal RNA is filed under the name uncultured bacterium. RNAcentral's name for it is "bacterial SSU rRNA". It matches the Rfam family "Bacterial small subunit ribosomal RNA", at positions 331 to 792 of the family's 1533-position model. The record is from RNAcentral.